UGUAGCCCUGACCACUGUGGUCAGGUGGGCAUUUUCUCCUUCGCUAGUUACCUGGUGUCUCAGCGGGUCUCUGAGCCCAAUGGCUGAAGUCCAAGCUUGGGAUAGGAGUAUCCCCAGCGCUCCCAGGCUCUGGCCGAGCCCGCGGCCGACCAUUACACUACCAUCAACCCACCUGGCCAGAAGCGUGAAUCUAGAGCCCUACCACCUAGACUCAUUUCCCUGGUGCCGUCAAGAGUGCAAGAAAGGCAGCAACAGUCGACAAGUACGUUUACUCACAGCCCGGCCAAAUGAGAGGGCAGCUAGUCAGCCUCCCUUGAACACAGCGAAGCACUGCAGCUUACAGGGAGAGGGGAACUGAAGCCAGGAGCUUGCAUCCUUCAGGACAUACACAUUUAGCCGGGCUGAGGGCCGCCUGCAGGCCCAGAAAAAAGAUGGAAAUGUGGUUCUGUUGAAACUCUUGGCACCAGGACUGGGGGCAGCAGUUUCACUGUCAGCAUGAGAAAGCUGGGAAAAAUAGCUUAGCUUUAUAAUCCUAAUUAUAAAGCCCCCUUUCAACUCCUCAGUUUCCCUCCUUCUAGAAGACAGUGUGGGGUCGGGUGUCCAGCACUGGGACACCUGGGUCUUAGGGUAAACCUCCGUCUGCAUCUCCCAGUGUGAAACGGGCACAGGACACAGGAUAGGCGACUUUCUCUGCUACAAUCGCGGUGCUUGGAGUAGAUGACCGUGAGGGCCCCACAGACUUGAAGGUCUUUGUGCUGGUCUUGAUUCUUCAUGAAUGACCCAUAUGUUCUGAGGCUCUGGAGAAAGCUAUCUGUUCCCGGGAGGUACUGCUGAGCAGAGAGCUGUGGAGGAUUUGGGGAGGCAGAGGACAUGGAGUGUUGCAGAAUGUGAGAGAAUCCAGGACCACUGAUCCAGUGCCCAGCAAUAACCCUGCUUUUAUUAGACCCGUGGGAUCCUCAUGGAAAGUGGGGCAGGAGUCUGCUUGGGUGAGGAGGCGAAUCAGUUAACUAGAUACCCGAGAACCAGCAGAGGAAGAAAGAGAUGAGGGAGUUUUCCAAGGGGCUGAGUCCUUUUUUUUUUUUCUUUUUGCAAGAAACACCCCACACCCACAACUUAAAGGAGGAGAGGUUUAUCUUGGCUAGUGGUUCCAGUCCCUGGUCAGGCGGCUCCAGGGUAAGAAUGGGAAGUCAGGGAGGGGGUGGUGGAGGAAAUCUAUGGACAUCACGGUGAUCAGGAAGCAGAGAAAAGCGAGGAGCCAGGAAAAAGAUGCACCCUUGCAGGUCACACCCAAGUGACCAGCUUCUCACCAGACCCCACCUGCUGACAACAAAGCAACUGUGUUACCCACGACUCACUCACCUUCUAGAAGCCCUGCCCGUGAGUGCACGAGGCCUUGGGUGACAUCCUCGAUCUAAAGCACAACACCAAAGUCCUCAAGCUUCUUUGGAGUUUGCAGUAGCCCAAGUCCUGCUGCCUGAGGACACCCAAACAUGGCUGCUGCUGCCUUAUUUCAACCCUGCACAUAUCUGGCUUAUUAUGAAUCCCACUGCACUGCUGCUGAUGUUGAUUGCGUUUCUGAGAAGUAAAGUCAGACUCGGUCGUCUGACAUCGGCCUGAGGACCAAGGCCAAGGCACACGGACUGAGUGGGAGUGAUUGGAAACAGUGUUGACAUGCACACAAGAAGCUGGAAAUGUCAAUUGCAGCUUGAGGUAAACACGGAUUUUGCCAGAGAUGCUGGUUCCUUCUGGAGAAUGAGGUUCAAGACCAAGCUGUGAUGCUGUGGAAGUGUGCUGCUGCAGUGAGCCGUUGCUUCCAGACCCUAAGUUAAGGGAAUGCAGGAAUACAGAUGGAGCUAAAUCCUCAUGCAUAUGUUUACAAGUCUUGGAAUUCUUGGGGAGGAGAUCUUUGAAAGACAAUAUUAAUCUCUCUUACUAAAGGCUUUUAAUUCUCUUCAGAAUAAGUGGUGCUACAAUGUACAAGAUUUGGUGCUGAAGAUAAAACAAACAAGUAAGCAAAAAAACCUAAGACUGGAAACAAAACGUUUUGGAGACAGAAGUCUUAUGCCUGCUUCCUGGUCCUCCAGAGAGCUGCUCUUUGAAUAGAAGUUGCCAGCGAUGUUGCUAUUUUUUUUUUUUGUCUGAGGUCAUGUUUGACUUUUUUGUUUUUGGUGUUUUAUUAAAUCCCGCACUGUUAAACUGCC
Non-coding RNA from Heterocephalus glaber (naked mole-rat), 2201 nucleotides. The record is from RefSeq and is a predicted model, not a curated record. Lineage: Eukaryota; Metazoa; Chordata; Mammalia; Rodentia; Bathyergidae.